UUUCCCUCAGGAUAGCUAGAGUUGAACAGUUUUAUCAGGUAAAGCGAAGGAUAAGAGGAUUCGGGACGCGUUGUCUUCGACCUAUCCUCAAACUUUAAAUGGGUAAGAUCCACAGUGGUAACUUGAUUGAACUUCUGGGAUAAAUGAAAACUUGAAGUGGGCCAGUUUUGGUAAGCAGAACUGGCGAUGAGGGAUGUGCCUAACGUUGGGCUAAGGUGACCAGGUGCUUAAUUGCAUGCCCAUCAGAUACCACAACCCUUCUUUCGGAGCUCUGAUGUUUCGAAC
This 285-nucleotide non-coding RNA is filed under the name Symbiodinium microadriaticum. RNAcentral describes it as "Eukaryotic large subunit ribosomal RNA". It matches the Rfam family "Eukaryotic large subunit ribosomal RNA", at positions 967 to 1328 of the family's 3401-position model. The record is from Rfam by way of RNAcentral. Lineage: Eukaryota; Dinophyceae; Suessiales; Symbiodiniaceae.